Gadus morhua (Atlantic cod) is the source of this 2130-nucleotide long non-coding RNA. Lineage: Eukaryota; Metazoa; Chordata; Actinopteri; Gadiformes; Gadidae. The record is from Ensembl.
GGAUAAAGUAGGCUAAACUUAAGCAGGUUCCCCACGUUAAACUGCUAUAUGCAUUAUGCUACAUGUCAUUGUAAAAUUGUAAUAGGCUUCUUUUCUUAAAUGCAUAUGACUCGGGAUGUCAGUUUGACGUAAGCCAGUAUGGCUAUGAUUAAACUAAUCAAGAGCAUAUUUUUAAAUGAGCGGGUCGGGUGCAUUAUUUUUAUAUAAGGCCUAAUAUUUGAGGUCCGAGUUGCGGUCAUUUAUGUACACGCGCACGAAUACUAUAGAGAGAUCGGUUCCGUGAUUUAGAAAAGUACAAGACACGCCUCCUACUACAAGUUACGCCUACUACAAGUCACGCCUCCAUCUUGCAGGAAGCAGACGGAUACUAUUGGAGUGGUUGCGUAAAUAGCACACCUGUUUUUGAAGUGGAUGAUUAUGUUGCAAAGGCGUUGAUUGGCUACAGGGCCAUAAUAUAAAGAGAUAGCAGAGGAUCAGUGCAACAGUGUUUUAGGUCUGGUUUGGCCUCAACCAAUCUGUCUGGGAAAUACUUUGAAUAUAGUUUGCCAUGGCUGUUGGGUGCAUUCUCAGAGUGUCUUGGUUUUGUUUGUUGCUGUUUGGUGGCAGUCUUCCUUUUCCAUCAAUGAAGGGUUAUAGCUAUACCUCCAAGAAUGACCAUCCUGAAAUUGGGGGUGAUAAAGAUGACGAGCUACAAACUUCUCAUACUCUAAGGUUUGAUGCAUAUAGCCUAGAAAAAGGCUAUUCAGACCGAAGCAAAAACGUCCCACUAGCUGCAGCUCCAAAGCAGGCACCGUUGAACCCCGAGGAAGGGGCGAGGAUCCAGGGAGGAGGAGCUGUGGAGUUUGGACAGAAAAAUGCUGAGAUGGAAGACCAGAAACUUGUCAAGCCAGUGACAUUCCCUCUAAACCCUCCCAACCAGCAUGAUCACUCUUUUGAGGAGCAGUGGGGCAGCACGAAGCCUCACUUCCCACCCUCUGACACUAAAGGGGCUUACUCUUCAUUGCACCUUGACCUCCCAGCUGGUGUACAAGAAGGUUCACAAAGCUAUUCCACUAACCUUGUCGAUGAGGCUGUUUAUCAAUACCCAGCUGCUGAAACUGCACAGCUUCCUUCACCAGAUGAUGACCCCUACACCUAUGACUCUGUGGUUGCGGAACAGCCAAGCAGUUGGUCCUCUGAUCGUUACAUUACCACAGAAGAGCCGGUAUUCUCCAGUAAUGCAGAAGAGAGUGACCUCUCCGACUACAACUCUGUGAAUGUGGUCCAGCCCAGCACUUGGUCUUCUGCUCCUUACAUGACUAGAGAAGAGGAGCCGGUUUACGUCAGUAAUUCAGGUGACUGGGCCCAAGCAGCGCAGACCAUUAGCGAACAGCCUCUGGAGGCGGAAGCAGUACCUAGUACUGACACUAAAGGGGAUUACUCUAGCUCUUCACUGAACCUCAACUUCCAAGCUGGUGUACAAGAAGGUUCACAAAGCUAUUCCACUAACCUUGUCGAUGAGGCUGUUUAUCAAUACCCUGCUGCUGAAGCUGAACAGCUUCAUUCAGAGGGGGUUGACGCCUCCAAGUAUGACUCUAUGAACGCAGUCCAGCCAAGCACUUGGUCCUCGGCUUCCUACUUGACCAGAGAAGAGGAGCCGGCAUUCUCCAGUCAUACAGGUCACUGGGCCCAUGUUGCUCCUGUGGAAACCCCUGCCUAUCCAAGCUAUGUGACUGACUACGGCUUGGACUCGACUUCAAGUAAAGCCGCUGCACAACCAGUCCUCUUCAAGCCACUGAAGAAGGCUCCUCAGCUCCCCAGCUCCAAGUGGCUUCAGAGGCCAAAGAAGGUGAGGGACCAGACUGCAUCUACCUACAUUGUCCAAUCCAAGGGCUCACACCGCCGAAGCCGCCAGAUGUUAUCCAAGAAGAAGUACUUCAGCGGUUUCCCUCCACCACCCCCAUCCGUGCUUAUGGCUCUGAGACCGUAAGGGGUAAAUGGUGACCACUUGGCCUUCAAUCAAUUGUGUAUUUUUCCCACUUGCUUAUGGAUUUCUACACUGACUAUACCUUCAGUAAUGCUUCGCACUUUCAGCAUAAAAGCUUGUUCCCUGAAAAGAAUAAACAAAAUGUAACCAUUUAAACUUGACUU